Molecule: ribosomal RNA, 587 nt
Filed under: uncultured fungus
Lineage: Eukaryota; Fungi
Description: eukaryotic LSU rRNA
Rfam family: 5.8S ribosomal RNA (bases 177-330)
Source: RNAcentral
CGUACAGGUUUCCGUAGGUGAACCUGCGGANNNUCAUUAAUGAAUUGUUAGGACGCUCUUUUUAGAGGUCCGACCCCUUCAUUUCCUUACACUGUGCACACACUUCUUUUUCACACAUUUUAACACAUCAGUUUAAAGAAUGUAAAUAGUCUCUUAAUUGAGCAUAAAAUAAAUAAAACUUUCAGCAACGGAUCUCUUGGCUCUCGCAUCGAUGAAGAACGCAGCGAAUUGCGAUAAGUAAUGUGAAUUGCAGAAUUCAGUGAAUCAUCGAAUCUUUGAACGCACCUUGCACUCUUUGGUAUUCCGAAGAGUAUGUCUGUUUGAGUGUCAUGAAACUCUCAACCCCCUUGUUUUGUAAUGAAACGAGCGUGGGCUUGGAUUAUGGCUGUUUGUCGGCGUCAUUGCCGGCUCAGCUGAAAUACACGAGCAACCCAUUUGAAAUAGGCGGUUUGACUCGGGCGUAAUAAUUAUUUCGCUGAGGGACGUCUUCUUUAAAGUUGGUGGUGCUUCUAAUGCGCUUUUAAUUAAGCAUCUUAAGCUUUAGACCUCAAAUCAGUCAGGACUACCCGCUGAACUUAAGCAUAUCA